Molecule: ribosomal RNA, 441 nt
Filed under: uncultured bacterium
Lineage: Bacteria
Description: bacterial SSU rRNA
Rfam family: Bacterial small subunit ribosomal RNA
Source: RNAcentral
CCUACGGGGGGCUGCAGUAAGGAAUCUUUCGCAAUGGGGGAAACCCUGACGAAGCAAUACCGCGUGGGCGAUGAAGGCCGAAAGGUCGUAAAACCCUUUUCUGGAGGAAGAAUUCUGACGGUACUCCAGGAAUAAGCACCGGCUAACUCCGUGCCAGCAGCCGCGGUAAUACGGAGGGUGCAAGCGUUAUCCGGAAUUAUUGGGCGUAAAGCGUCCGCAGGCGGCUAAUUAAGUUAAAUGUUAAAUCUUGAAGCCCAACUUCAAGGCCGUAUUUAAAACUGAUUGGCUAGAGUAUUUCAGAGGUAUGCGGAAUUCUGUGUGUAGGGGUAAAAUCCGUAGAUACACAGAAGAACACCAAAAGCGAAGGCAGCAUACUGGGAAAUUACUGACGCUCAUGGACGAAAGCGUGGGUAGCGAACGGGCUUAGAUACCCCGGUAGUC